Xiphophorus couchianus (Monterrey platyfish) is the source of this 1078-nucleotide long non-coding RNA. RefSeq lists it as uncharacterized. Lineage: Eukaryota; Metazoa; Chordata; Actinopteri; Cyprinodontiformes; Poeciliidae. The record is from RefSeq and is a predicted model, not a curated record. The transcript has 2 exons.
AGAGAACAGACAGACAGAGGCCAGAUUACAUGAUCAUGUUCAUGUAAUCACUGUUAAAGAUAAUAAUAAUAAAUAAAUAACCACACCAGACGCAGAGAAUGUGUCUUUGCUGCAGCCUGCCUGGUCUUGUGAUGCAAUCAAUGAGAUUAAAUCAUUGACUGGCCAGGCCAGGCCAUGGGAGGCCUGGAUGAAAUAUAACACUGUGGCAGGCAGGCUCGGAAAACACCCAGCCUCACCAACUCAGGCUGCUGGACGCCUGCUCUGCUCAGGCUGACGUUUCCAAAGGUCGUCAGGCAGCUAGCAGCAAAGCUAACAGCUGCUCAUGCGCCCUUUUAAUCACGCAGAGUCCAUUUUAAACCCCACUCAGGCGAACAGCACGUAACACCCACCGUCUAACGUCCCUUUUACCGCGAUGACCUCUUCAAAAAAAACAACCGUUUAAAUACAGGGGAAAGUGUUGCUGACGUCUCCAGGGUAGUUCCCUUCACCAAGCCGCUAAGCUAGGAUAAUGGUCGAUAACCCAGCAGACGUCGCAGCGUAUUUGCCAACCAGCCAGAAGGCAACAAACGACCUCAGCCGCUUUAAAGUCUUUCGACAUUUCGCCAGCGAACACGACAAGCCGUAUCAGUGGCAAGUUUAGAAACGGUGCGUGGCUCUUUAAACGACCUCGUCCGUUUCGUGUCCUGUACGCUCAAUGUCACACACACUUACCAAUCCUUGUCAUCAUCAUCUUUUUUUUUUUUUUUUUUACAUAUCAAAGUAACGCAGCGAGGCCUUUAACCGCAGCUCCGUCGAAUCAACAACCUGAUGACAGCUGGGCCAGUGGGGAGACACUUCCGUCUCCAUUCCCCGCCUCCAGCUGCCUUCGCCAGCCACUCUGUGAAAGGAUUUCCUCCACAUCGCCCCGCCCACAUUAUCUGUAAUCUGCCCUCUGAUAGGAUAAUUGCUGUCAGCACACGCCCACAUCACAUAUUGUCAAUGAAUGGCAGUUCCAUCUUUUUCCAAAUAAGGAGGGCUUGAAAUCAAUAGCAGUUGUAGGAAAGGUAGAUUAAUGAAGAUUAAAAAUACCAUAUAUGUG